RNAcentral lists this transfer RNA (76 nucleotides) under Candidatus Bathyarchaeota archaeon. RNAcentral describes it as "tRNA-Thr". It matches the Rfam family "tRNA". From Rfam's summary of the family: Transfer RNA (tRNA) molecules are approximately 80 nucleotides in length. Their secondary structure includes four short double-helical elements and three loops (D, anti-codon, and T loops). RNAcentral also lists the same sequence under 1 other name. Lineage: Archaea; Thermoproteati; Candidatus Bathyarchaeota. The record is from RNAcentral.
GCCCCGGUGGCUUAGCGGUUAGAGCAGCGGCCUCGUAAGCCGCGGGUCGCGGGUUCGAAUCCCGCCCGGGGCUCCA